This 447-nucleotide ribosomal RNA is filed under the name uncultured bacterium. Its description in RNAcentral is "partial 16S ribosomal RNA". It matches the Rfam family "Bacterial small subunit ribosomal RNA", at positions 46 to 523 of the family's 1533-position model. The record is from RNAcentral.
GCUUAACACAUGCAAGUCGAACGGCAGCGCGGGUAGCUUGCUACCUGGCGGCGAGUGGCGCACGGGUGAGUAACGCGUGGGAAUCUGCCCUGUAGUACGGAAUAACAGCGGGAAACUGCUGACAAAACCGUAUACGCCCUCCGGGGGAAAAAUUUAUUGCUAUAGGAUGAGCCCGCGUAAGAUUAGGUCGUUGGUGGGGUAAUGGCCUACCAAGCCUACGAUCUUUAGCUGGUCUGAGAGGAUGAUCAGCCACACUGGAAGUGCGACACGGUCCAGACUCCUACGGGAGGCAGCAGUGGGGAAUAUUGGACAAUGGGCGAAAGCCUGAUCCAGCCAUGCCGCGUGAGUGAUGAAGGCCCUAGGGUUGAAAAGCUCUUUCGCCGGGGAAGAUAAUGACGGUACCCGGAUAAGAAGACACGGCUAACUUCGUGCCAGCCGCCGCGGUAA